RNAcentral lists this ribosomal RNA (584 nucleotides) under Cryptosporidium sp. Its description in RNAcentral is "SSU rRNA". It matches the Rfam family "Eukaryotic small subunit ribosomal RNA", at positions 310 to 925 of the family's 1831-position model. The record is from RNAcentral. Lineage: Eukaryota; Apicomplexa; Conoidasida; Eucoccidiorida; Cryptosporidiidae.
UCCUAUCAGGCUUUAGACGGUAGGGUAUUGGCCUACAGUGGCAAUGACGGGUAACGGGGAAUUAGGGUUCGAUUCCGGAGAGGGAGCCUGAGAAACGGCUACCACAUCUAAGGGAGGCAGCAGGCGCGCAAAUUACCCAAUCCUAAUACAGGGAGGUAGUGACAAGAAAUAACAAUACAGGACUUAAUUGUUUUGUAAUUGGAAUGAGUUAAGUAUAAACCCCUUUACAAGUAUCAAUUGGAGGGCAAGUCUGGUGCCAGCAGCCGCGGUAAUUCCAGCUCCAAUAGCGUAUAUUAAAGUUGUUGCAGUUAAAAAGCUCCUAGUUGGAUUUCUGUUAAUAUUUUAUAUUAUUAAUUUAUUAUUAUUAAUAUAAUAUUAACGUAAUUCAUAUUACUUUUUUAAGUAUAGGAAAUUUUACUUUGAGAAAAUUAGAGUGCUUAAAGCAGGCUUUUGCCUUGAAUACUCCAGCAUGGAAUAAUAUUAAAGAUUUUUAUCUUUCUUAUUGGUUCUAAGAUAGAAAUAAUGAUUAAUAGGGACAGUUGGGGGCAUUUGUAUUUAACAGUCAGAGGUGAAAUUUCUUAAAA